This 383-nucleotide ribosomal RNA is filed under the name uncultured eukaryote. RNAcentral describes it as "partial 18S ribosomal RNA". It matches the Rfam family "Eukaryotic small subunit ribosomal RNA", at positions 592 to 976 of the family's 1831-position model. The record is from RNAcentral.
UGUAAGCGUAUACCAAAGUUGUUGCAGUUAAAACGCUCGUAGUCGGAACUUGGCCGUGUCGGAUGAGUGCACGUCGUGUGCGCGCAUUGCAGAUAUGGCUUUUGUGGUUUUUGCGUACGAUUAGGCACGUUUAUUCGUGAACGUCGUUCCGCAGCCACUCUUUACUGUGAGAAAAUCAAAGUGCUCAAAGCAGGCAUUUGCCGUGAAUGUAUUAGCAUGGAAUAAUAGAAUAGGACUCGGUUCUAUUUUGUUGGUUUGUUGGGGCUGAGUAAUGAUUAAGAGGGACAGUUGGGGGCAUUUGUAUUUCGGCGCUAGAGGUGAAAUUCUUAGAUUGCCGAAAGACAAACUGCUGCGAAAGCGUCUGCCAAGGAUGUUUUCAUUGA